AGAGCUUACAAUUGAUCUGACAGUUACACUGAGCUUCACUCCAGGGUUCUCUCUAGAUGUUCAUCCUCCUCUUCAGCUCUGCAAGGAUACAUAGAGAAUGCUCAGAAGCACAGCCCCCUGCAUGGCUAAAUCAGUGCCUGACCAGCGGCUACAUUAGUGGGCUCUACAUGUAACGGGGUUCUCUCUAGAUGUUCAUCCUCCUCUUCAGCUCUGCAAGGAUACAUAGAGAAUGCUCAGAAGCACAGCCCCCUGCAUGGCUAAAUCAGUGCCUGACCAGCGGCUACAUUAGUGGGCUCUACAUGUAACGGGGUUCUCUCUAGAUGUUCAUCCUCCUCUUCAGCUCUGCAAGGAUACAUAGAGAAUGCUCAGAAGCACAGCCCCCUGCAUGGCUAAAUCAGUGCCUGACCAGCGGCUACAUUAGUGGGCUCUACAUGUAACGGGGUUCUCUCUAGAUGUUCAUCCUCCUCUUCAGCUCUGCAAGGAUACAUAGAGAAUGCUCAGAAGCACAGCCCCCUGCAUGGCUAAAUCAGUGCCUGACCAGCGGCUACAUUAGUGGGCUCUACAUGUAACGGGGUUAGACAGAGACUUGCCCCCUAACAAUGAGGCUGCUAAUCCCC
Xenopus tropicalis (tropical clawed frog) is the source of this 617-nucleotide long non-coding RNA. RefSeq lists it as uncharacterized. The transcript is spliced from 6 exons. Lineage: Eukaryota; Metazoa; Chordata; Amphibia; Anura; Pipidae. The record is from RefSeq and is a predicted model, not a curated record.